RNAcentral lists this transfer-messenger RNA (368 nucleotides) under candidate division BRC1 bacterium ADurb.Bin183. RNAcentral's name for it is "transfer-messenger RNA, SsrA". It matches the Rfam family "transfer-messenger RNA". Rfam says of the family: Bacterial tmRNA, also known as 10Sa RNA or SsrA, is named for its dual tRNA and mRNA-like properties. Its role is to liberate the mRNA from a stalled ribosome. Lineage: Bacteria; Candidatus Sumerlaeota. The record is from RNAcentral. RNAcentral also lists the same sequence under 2 other names.
GGGGGCGAAACGGCUUCGACGGGGUUCGCCGCUCAAACAGGUGCAAGCCGAGGACGCUUAGUCACCUCGUUAAAUAAUCAGAGCAACUAAAUUUAACUGCGGAAUCUAACUUCGCACUCGCUGCCUAAUUAGGCAGCCGUCCGCCGGAGGCUCCGCCUGCGGUUUCCGGGUCGGGCGUCACUUUGCGGGCUGGCUUAGCGGAGCGCGCAAGCGCGGCUGAGACCGCUUAGCGAGAUACAUCAGCCUUGGCUCCUGAUAAAGCCCGCCCUUCGGCGUUUUUAGGAGCGAGAUUAAACGGAGGGAGACGCUUGUGGCGCCUGCUUGGGAGGGUUCUUCGGACGCGGGUUCAAUUCCCGCCGCCUCCACCA